CAUUAUAACGACUCUCAUCAGUUAAUUUCCAGCUCUCUACUCUUUUACUCUCUCAGCUACAAUUUCAAUUGAGAGAAAUUUUCCUAGAAUUACAAAAUAUAAAGUACUAGCACUUGUUGGUUUUGAUUCGAAACCCUAAAAGUCCCCAAAACCCCGACGAAAUUAGGGUUUUUGUUGUAAAAAAAUCAACCAUGUCUAAACGCAAAUUUGGAUUUGAAGGGUUUGGGAUAAACCGUCAAGCUACCUACAACUUCGAGCGAUCCCAAGCUCCUCAACGCCUCUACGUCCCUCCUUCUUCUCGCCACGGCCACGACAACUACGAAGAUACCGACCUUGACGACAUCGAUUACGCCGAUAAUGAUACCUCCAAGGACGUCGACACUAAUUACCCCGAUAGCAAGGGAAACGGAGCGGAAGAUGACGAAAUUGACCCUCUUGACGCGUUCAUGCAAGGUAUUCAGGAGGAUUUGAAUGCGGCGCCGCCUCCGAAGCCCAAGGAUAAGGCGGAGAGGUUUAAAGACGAUGAUGAUGAGGAUGAUCCGGUGGAGAGUUUUUUGAGGGUGAAGAAGGAUGUUGGGCUGACUUUGGCGGCGGAUGCUUUGCGUGCGGGGUAUGAUUCGGAUGAGGAGGUUUAUGCGGCAGCGAAGGCGGUAGAUGCGGGUUUGUUGGAGUACGAUUCGGAUGAUAAUCCCGUUAUUGUGGACAAGAAAAAGAUCGAGCCGAUUCCAGCCCUUGAUCACAGUUCCAUUGAGUAUGAGCCGUUUAACAAAGAUUUUUAUGAGGAGAAAACUUCAAUUUCAGGAAUGAGUGAGCAGGAAGUUGCUGAAUAUCGAAAGAGUUUGGCUAUUCGUGUUUCUGGUUUUGAUGUUCCAAGACCUGUUAAGACAUUUGAAGACUGUGGUUUUGCACCAGAAUUAAUGCGUGCUAUUGCAAAACAAGGGUAUGAAAAGCCGACUACGAUUCAGUGCCAAGCCUUACCUAUUGUCCUUUCUGGGAGGGAUGUUAUUGGUAUUGCAAAAACUGGUUCUGGUAAAACUGCUUCUUUUGUGAUUCCAAUGAUUGUCCACAUUAUGGAUCAGCCUGAACUUCAGAAAGAAGAGGGUCCGAUAGGAGUGAUAUGUGCACCUACGCGAGAACUAGCACACCAAAUAUUCUUGGAAACAAAGAAAUUUGCCAAAGCCUAUGGGAUACGAGCCUCUGCUGUAUAUGGUGGAAUGUCCAAACUUGAUCAGUUCAAGGAACUCAAGGCAGGAUGUGAGAUAGUCAUUGCUACACCUGGUCGAUUGAUAGACAUGCUAAAAAUGAAGGCACUGACAAUGAUGAGAGCAACUUAUUUGGUACUUGAUGAGGCUGAUCGAAUGUUUGACCUUGGGUUUGAGCCACAAAUAAGAUCCAUCGUUGGCCAAAUCAGACCUGACCGCCAGACCUUACUAUUUUCAGCAACAAUGCCCCACAAAGUUGAGAAGCUAGCAAGAGAAAUUCUCAGUGACCCAGUCAGAGUUACAGUUGGAGAGGUGGGAAUGGCUAAUGAGGAUAUUACUCAGCUUGUUCAUGUACUUCCUUCUGAUUCUGAGAAGCUACCGUGGCUUCUAGAGAAGCUACCUGGAAUGAUUGAUGAGGGUGAUGUUUUGGUGUUUGCUUCCAAGAAAGCUACUGUUGAUGAGAUUGAAUCACAGCUCUCUCAUAAGGUUUUUAAGGUUGCCGCCCUUCAUGGUGACAAAGAUCAGGCUUCUCGAAUGGAAAUUCUACAAAAGUUUAAGUGUGGCAUCUACCAUGUUCUCAUUGCAACUGAUGUUGCUGCUCGUGGCCUUGACAUCAAGUCAAUUAAGUCAGUUGUGAACUUUGAUAUCGCAAAGGACAUGGACAUGCAUGUGCACCGUAUUGGUAGAACAGGUCGUGCUGGUGACAAAGAUGGCAUUGCAUAUACUCUGAUAACUCAGAAGGAGGCUCGGUUUGCGGGUGAAUUGGUAAAUAGUUUAAUUGCUGCUGGUCAGAAUGUGUCAAUGGAACUGAUGGAUCUUGCUAUGAAGGAUGGAAGAUUCAGGUCCAAGCGUGAUGCAAGAAAAGGAGGUGGAAAGAAAGGCAGAGGAAGGGGGGGUGGUGGUGGGGGUGGUCGAGGUGUGCGUGGAGUUGAUUAUGGUCUGGGUAUUGGAUAUAAUCCAGAAUCCGGUAAUGCUUCAUCUCAGGCUGCUCAAAGUCGAAAUGCUGCUGUAAAUUCUCUGAAAACUGGCAUGAUGGCACAAUUCAAGAGUAACUUUGUUGCUGCUUCAUCAAACUCUCAAAGUCAAGGCUUCGGCAACAAUUCAAGUGUCAGGAAACCAACUUUGCCUGGAUUUGUAUCCGGUGGUACCAUUGGUGGAGAUAUAAAUAGGUCUCAGAUGGCCGGUUCAUUCAGCACUGCUCCGAUGUCAGGAUCGAAUACUUCACAGAAUACUGGACAAAACACUACCCAGAGGAACUCAGAGAGUUCCAGAGAUAGACCUAGAGAAAGACGAAGGCCUUCUGGGUGGGAUCGUUAGUCUUUAUACAUUGAUGGAUGAUGCUAUUUACAUAAACGGUCGGCAACUUUUAUCUGUUCAAAUCUUGAAUUAACCUUGUCUGUAUAAUUAUCAUGCUUAUGGAAUCUUUUGGAAGAAUAGGUGUGCAAUCAUCUUUCGUUGACACUAAAUUACAGAGGCAUUCCAUGACUUCAUAAACAUAACAAAUAAAAAGCAAUAGAAUCGUCAUAAAAGAAGAAAAGAAAAGAAUAAUGAUUGAUGGAUCUAACAUACGAUUUCUGGAAGGGCAUGAUCCUUUUUGGAUUUUAAGGCUGUCUUCAGUUAUGGAGCAUUUUAGAUCCUAGGCAGUGGAGGGUGUUGUCAAACACCUUGUGGGUUGCUGUUGAUGAUAUUCGCCUCAUCUGCCCAAGUCUAUUAUUUAACUUAAGUUUGGAAAUGCAGUGGAGAAAGAAAAUUGUUGAUAGGAGCAAUAGCUAGCUCUGCACAACAACCUGCUAGGUUCCUGUCCCUGGGCUGGGGAUUAUGAUCAGCUGAAACUGCUUGAAAAUUCUCAUUCAUCUUCGUUCAAUCAUAAGCACAACACAACCCCUGAUGAUGGUUGUCUGGUUUGAAUUAGUGGAUAAUUUGUCCUACCAAAAGGAUUUUUAUUUUUAUCCCUUGGCGAUUAAGAGAUAGAUAUUGUAGACAGUUCCAGGCCAAUUUAGCCACAAUGAAAUUCUGGUAUAAAGUUAUGGCUGGUAUGCAAUGAAAUUCGUCUUCUUUUUCUUCUCUCUGUGCCUGGAUCUCUGGUGCCUAUGAUGUGUUUGCAAGAGCCCAGUGUGCCUGUAUGGCUUUUCCCAUUACUGUCAAAUACAUUAUUAGAAACUCAAUAGAUUGCAGAAAAAAGAUUGACUGACUGAAGCCUUUUUAUGUUGACAAUUGGUACUUGGAAAGCAUGACGUCAAAGUUGGAAACCUGAAUCAAGAUGUCACGCACGGUUUAUGGCUGUGGAAAUUUCGUCACAUUCACAUUCCUUUGAAUUUCCCUCUGUGUAUUAGCAAUUGGACAGACAUAUAUCAAGGCAAAGCUCUUUAAGGGUGCUAAUCAUUCUCCGACAAUGGUGGGUGGUUCCCAAAUUUGAACUGCCAUGUCAAAGUCAACAGCAUUAUCAAAACUUAGAAAUGUGCUAAAUACUUUUAAAACUAGCAACAAGAUGGGUAGCAACUGGCAAUUGAUGAGAUUACAAGAAUACGUUAGUUUUUGUUGGAGGAUGUUGCUUUGUAAAGGAAAAUCUAGCCACAUCUAAGCUGAAUUGCUGAUGGUAAAUAAAUGAAAACCAAAGGGAGAACAAGAUGUCGGGUAGCGCAAUCUAAUUUAUCCGACAAUCUUUACACUCUAGUAGCAAAAUGAGUUUUCGAUGGUCAAAUGCAAUUCGGAAUACCAUAGUUUUAGGAACAAAGAGAAGGGCCUUGUCCCUAGAGUUACCUGACUGCUAUAAUCGCAGAAGUUCGACUCCUUCGCUCUUUUGAAUUUGCUAUUGCAAUAAUCUCAUGAAGGACGAUGCAUUAGCCAGUUCUUUUUUAAGUGCAUGGAUGAAUUGAAGCUCAUCAAUAAACUUCAUCUUUCAACAACUCUCACCUGACUGUAUGUGAGAUUGGGACAACUCGAGAAGGUGCCUCAACUAAACUUAUAGAUGAAUUGAAGUUACCUUCUCUGGAUGCAGAGCUAGCGAAUUUAAAUGACAUUGAGUGAGUAGAGUGUUUUGGAAGAGUUCAGAUGACAACAUAUGGUAAUCUGGCUGCUCUUUAUGUCGUGGUUGGGCUGUUUGUGAAAGCUGAGGGCCUGAGGCAUGUCUUAACUUCGGUUUAUCGAGUGUGGGAGCUCUGAAACGAGCUUUUCCC
Molecule: RNA transcript, 4378 nt
Organism: Durio zibethinus
Lineage: Eukaryota; Viridiplantae; Streptophyta; Magnoliopsida; Malvales; Malvaceae
Gene name: DEAD-box ATP-dependent RNA helicase 24-like
Source: RefSeq, a predicted model, not a curated record